UUUCUAAUAAAUAAAACAAUUUUUUUUUUAAAUCAAAAAUUCAAAGUGCUGAAAAAAUGAUUGGGUUGGGGUAUUUUUGAUGGGUCAGUCUGAGUACAUCAAAGAAAUUUGUUUACAUUGUUGCCCUUAUUUGCUAGUACUGUAUUUGGUUGACUUGAACUUUGACCUACUUUACAAAGAUACCCCAGAAACUUUAAAUUAACUAAAGACUUUUGAAUAUUGAGUGAUGUAUGUUGAUAAUUAACAUUAAUUUUAUACAUGUUUAUGAGCUCAUAAAACUGUUCUUUUAAACUAUAUGAUAUUCAGUAAACCACAAAAACUGAUAUCUUAAUAUUAUGAAAAUACAUUGGGAUGGAAUCUCACAAAGUGGAUCGUGCAAUGUGACAAUUGCUUUGAAACAUGUAACACAUGUAAAAUGAUAAAUAAUUAUUUAUGAUGAUUUCAACUUAAUUAUUCAGUUGAGGGUUGCAUUCUGUAUAUGCUAGUAGCAUAAAAAUAGCUGACCACUCUUAGAUUUUAUAGAUACAUCUUUAAAGAAGCUAAAAGCAGGUGACAUAUGUGUUCCUUGGAACACUUUAGUUUGUAAUGAUAUUGAUGUCCUGUACUCUUUUAUAACACUUUCUCUUCUUUCAGCAAUGUUAAGCUUGAUUUAGCCACUGCAGUAUAAGGAGAGAAGCAGACCAGAAACCCUGACUAAAGUAAAGAUGAUUUGCAUAACAAAGGCAGAUGAAUAAAUCACAAGAGUCCAAAGUUUUGAUGACCAUGCACAGUCGAGAUACUGAAACAAAGACAUGCCUGCACUGUUCACUCAAUUUUUCAGAAUAACGUGUCAAAUUGAAAUCCAUCUUAUGUUGGACUAAACAAUCAGGACAUUUUUCUGGAUCAAAGGUUGCACAAAGUAUUGACAAAAUCAAAGAUUACCUGGUAGUCUGCAAAUGGAGUGAUCAUUGGAUGAGCCAGACAACACCAUUUUCCUCGGAAAUUUUAGAAUUGAGGCAAUCUCUAUCUUCAUAGAUGACUG
This is a long non-coding RNA of Saccostrea cuccullata (small rock oyster), 1021 nucleotides long. RefSeq lists it as uncharacterized. The record is from RefSeq and is a predicted model, not a curated record. Lineage: Eukaryota; Metazoa; Mollusca; Bivalvia; Ostreida; Ostreidae. The transcript has 3 exons.